UUAGGGCUUCUUAAUAAACUUUAAAAAUUUGACAGGCAUUGGGGAUCCACUUAUCUUAAUGCUACCCAAGACAAGCCUAACUUCCUUUGCUUAUCAACCUACUAACCUGGAGUGGCCUCCUCUUUCUUUGGUCUCUCUCUGCCUCCUAUAUAUGGGGACAAUUUCAUAUUACAUGCAGAAAGCUCUGAGCUGAUUGUGACCACAAUAAUUGGUUAGCCAGUCAGAAGACGGAAGAAAUGAGCCUUGAGAGUGAGGCAUCUGUGAGGAAGUCCCAACUUGGGCAUGGGUCUUUAUGGGAGGAAGGGUAGUGUAUAUGUCAGAUGCUUGUGGACCACCAUACAGUUAUUUUGCUCUGAGGCUUUGGCAAAAAUUGUUCCUACAAAAGUGCUUCACUUCAAGGAAAUUCAUGAAAAAUAUUUCUGACAGGACACCCUACAGGCUUUGCUGGAACACUUAUGAGGGAGAAGAUGGGCAAUGACCCUACAGAAAGCUCAAGGCCCAGACACUGCUGUAAGGUUUUGGGAGUUGUUUGGGAUGAUUGGAACCCCUGCUGAAGCACCCAAUACCAUGAAGAAGUUGUGGGAAGCAGCCAUUGCUCUGACUCUCACUGUGAUCAACAAGCUAUCCUGUUGAGAACACCAACCCACCACACCUGAGAAAGGAAUUAUCUACAAGAAUUUGCAGUGGGACCUCCUGCUGGGAUAGUUACUUUGUAUCCCUCUGUGAGGGAGAGCUAUUCCAUUUCCACCAGGAUCCUAUUGUCCUGCUCCAACCUGGACAUGAUAAAAGUCACUAUACCAGGAAUGGAACGUGCACCACCAAAGGGGAGAAGAUGAAGGUCCUGGUCUGUCAUAGCCUGCCCUUAGUGCUCAUGCCUGAAAAUGCUGCUUCCUCCCACCAACAAGCAUGGUAUAUACAACCAGGUCAACUUUCUAAACCUCCCGACCUCUCUCUCCUCAAGGCCAGGUGGGUGCAUUUUCUCACUGGUUUGAUCAUUUGGCUGCCAUCUUUGUUCCCUCCUUUGGUAUGGAGGAUGUUAUAGCACACAUAGAAAUCCUUACUAAAUUCACCCAGCAAGACUUACGUGAUAGUUAACAAAGACUGUCUUUACUGAACACUGAAAUGUCUCUGAUGAGAAAAGCUAUCCUCCAAAAUAGAAUGGCUAUUGACAUUAUUAUUGCCUUACAAGGAAGCACCUGUGUCAUUAUCCAAACAGAAUGUUGUGUGUUCAUAUUUGAUGAAUAUAUUAAUGUAUCAUGUUUAUUAAGUCACAUAAGGAGGGACACCUGGGUGGCUCAGCGGUUGAGCAUCUGCUUUUGGCUCAGGGUGUGAUCCCGGGAUUCGGGAUUGAGUCCCACAUCGGGCUCCUUGCAGGGAGCCUGCUUCUCUCACUGCCUGCAUCUCUGCCUCUCUCAUGAAUAAAUAAAUAAAAUCUUAAAAAAAAAAAAAAGUCACAUAAGGACACAGUGAGCUCCCCGAGUGAUCUGACUCCCAGCUUAGGGGAGUUGAUGAAUCAGUGGUUUGGAUCACAGGCUCUUAUGGAAAGUUAUCAGUGAUUUUGGAAUUAUUAUCUUAACCUGUGUUUUCUCUUACAUGUGCCUGUGUUGGUGUGGUAUCUGCUCCACUGCAGCCAGAGAGCCACCAGCUGAGCCACCUCAUGCUAGUGAAACUCCUUGCCAACUGCUCAGGACCCAUUGUGAAAGAAGGGUGUGUGAGACUGUAAAGGGCCAGUCAUGAGGAGUGGAAUGUUGGGGAAGGUCAUUGAAAAGACAUAACUGCCAGUUCACCUGUGAGCUCAACCUAAACGCUCAGAGGCUCCUCACCAACCCCUUCCUUGGAAUGUGGGUUUCACUUUCCUUUCCUACUCCCAGAGGCCAUUCCAAGGACCUAGUCUUGAUAGUGUGAUGUGAUAUUGAGAAUACUUAAAUGAUAUACAUGACUAAACCUAAUUAAGCCCUCUUUAUAAACUUUGUAAGAUUUGGCAGGCAGAGGCAGGGAUCCACUCAUCUUGCUGCCACCCAAGAUAAGCUUCAUUUGUAAGUUCCCUCUCCUUGUUAAAACUAUUACCUACCAACCUGGAAUGGUCUCCUUUUUCUUUGGUCUUUCCCUGUUCUCCAUAACAAUUAGUCACUUUCAGAUUACACCAGGGAAACUCCAGAGAGGGUGGUAAACCAAGACAGGGACAUUUGCUGGAACAGGAAACUUGCUCUAAAAGAUCACUGAUUUUAUAAAUCUAUAUUAAAUCAGAAGGAAAGGUUAAUUAGUCCAAGUACAAUAAGAGUAGUAAGUAUACCAUUACCAUAUGCAGAAUCUAAACUUGAAUAAUGAAAAUGCUUCGUUUCUUCUAAGCCUGCAAACUUCUUUUUAGAUCGAGCCUGCCAGAGGAGCUCUUUGGGAGACCUGGUACCUCAUACAUGGAAGUAGAGGUGAGAUUCUUCCUUUCACCUUUGCUAGGUGGUGAGCAGGAAGUGCAUAAUUACAGCAUCUACAAAAGAAGGAAGAAUUUUUUUUAUUCAAAAGUUUAAAAAAUUACUUGUAUAAAUGUGUUCUAGUAGUGCUUUUUAAAUCACAAAUACUUGGAACUACGCAAAUGGCUAAAAGAGGGCUAUGACUUAAAACUAUAGCAUAUUAACAUGAAUAAAUGCUAUAGAUUAAUUGGAAAAAAUGAUAAAUAUAUAGAAAAUGUCAAUACUAGUUAUGCCUAAAUGAAAUAAAGUUAGGUGAAAAUACCAGAAAAUAAGUUACACGUACACUGGUUGCAGCUGAGUGGAAUUAUAUGUACAUACAUGAACAAAUAUGGGAGAAUUUGAGGUUAGUAGUUUAGAAUUUAAUAUUCUUUUUUUUUUUUAUACAAUUGCUCAUGUUUCUAAAAGAGCAAGUUUACUUAAAAGAUGGGCAGGGGACCUGGGUAGACAUUUUUCUAAAGAAGACAUACAGAUGGCCAAGAGACACAUGAAAAGAUGCUCAACAUUACUCAUCAUGAGGGAAAAAUGCAAAUCAAAACCACAAUAAGAUAUCAUCUCGCGGGGAA
Long non-coding RNA from Canis lupus familiaris (dog), 3031 nucleotides. RefSeq lists it as uncharacterized. The transcript is spliced from 4 exons. NCBI's taxonomy places the organism in Eukaryota, Metazoa, Chordata, Mammalia, Carnivora, Canidae. The record is from RefSeq and is a predicted model, not a curated record.